RNAcentral lists this ribosomal RNA (1504 nucleotides) under uncultured rumen bacterium. Its description in RNAcentral is "partial 16S ribosomal RNA". It matches the Rfam family "Bacterial small subunit ribosomal RNA". The record is from RNAcentral.
AGAGUUUGAUCAUGGCUCAGGAUGAACGCUAGCGACAGGCUUAACACAUGCAAGUCGAGGGGCAGCAUGGGCGUGGCAACACGCCUGAUGGCGACCGGCGCACUGGUGAGUAACACGUAUGCGACCUGCCUCCUUCAGGGGGAUAACCCAGAGAAAUUUGGCCUAAUACCCCAUAGUCCGCGCGGCUGCAUGGCCGUGCGGGGAAAGCUGCGGCGGAAGGAGAUGGGCAUGCGGCGCAUUAGCUAGUUGGCGGGGCAACGGCCCACCAAGGCUACGAUGCGUAGGGGUUCUGAGAGGAAGGUCCCCCACACUGGUACUGAGACACGGACCAGACUCCUACGGGAGGCAGCAGUGAGGAAUAUUGGUCAGUGGGCGGAGGCCUGAACCAGCCAAGUCGCGUGGGGGACGACGGCCCUACGGGUUGUAAACCCCUUUAGCCGGGGAGUAACAAGCGCCACGCGUGGCGCCAUGAGAGUACCCGGAGAAUAAGCAUCGGCUAACUCCGUGCCAGCAGCCGCGGUAAUACGGAGGAUGCGAGCGUUAUCCGGAUUCAUUGGGUUUAAAGGGUGCGCAGGCGGCGCUCCAAGUCAGCGGUCAAAGUUCCGGGCUCAACCCGGUGCCGCCGUUGAAACUGGGGUGCUUGAGUAGGUGCGACGGAGGCGGAAUGCGUKGUGUAGCGGUGAAAUGCAUAGAGAUUGGGAGGAACACCAGUGGCGAAGGCGACUUACUGGACUGUAACUGACGCUGAGGCGCGAAAGUGUGGGGAGCAAACAGGAUUAGAUACCCUGGUAGUCCACACUGUAAACGAUGAAUGCUAGGKGUAGGGGGUAUCGACCCUUCUGUGCCGCAGUAAACACAAUAAGCAUUCCGCCUGGGGAGUACGGCCGCAAGGUUGAAACUCAAAGGAAUUGACGGGGGCCCGCACAAGCAGCGGAGCAUGUGGUUUAAUUCGACGCAACGCGAAGAACCUUACCAGGUCUUGACAUCCAGUUAAAGCCAUAGAGAUAUGGUGUGUGCUUGCACAAACUGAGACAGGUGGUGCAUGGUUGUCGUCAGCUCGUGUCGUGAGAUGUUGGGUUAAGUCCCGCAACGAGCGCAACCCUUAUUCUCAGUUACUAACGCGUAGAGGCGAGGACUCUGAAGAGACUGCCGGGGACAACUCGGAGGAAGGUGGGGACGACGUCAAAUCAUCAUGCCCCUUAUGUCCUGGGCUGCACACGUGCUACAAUGACCGGCACAAUGGGCUGCCACUGCGCGAGCAGGAGCGAAUCCCCAAAGCCGGCCCCAGUUCGGAUUGGAGGCUGCAACCCGCCUCCAUGAAGUCGGAGUUGCUAGUAAUCGCGGAUCAGCACGCCGCGGUGAAUGCGUUCCCGGGCCUUGUACACACCGCCCGUCACACCACCCGAGUCGUCUGCACCCGAAGUCGUCGGCCCAACCCGCAAGGGAGGGAGGACGCCGAAGGUGUGGAGGGUAAGGGGGGUGAAGUCGUAACAAGGUAACCGUA